This 446-nucleotide long non-coding RNA is filed under the name Androctonus crassicauda. The record is from RNAcentral. Lineage: Eukaryota; Metazoa; Arthropoda; Arachnida; Scorpiones; Buthidae.
AUGAAAUGGAGGGAUAAGGAAGAUGAAUUAACAUAUAUCUUUGAACAAGGUUAUAAACAUGGAUAUAGAAGGAAAGUAGUAGAAGGCCUUAUAAAGAAGAUUAGCGAAUACAUUGAAAACAAUAUGAAUACAAGAUCUCCCCUAGUAAUUUAGAUAGGACAUCAUUUGCCCAGGUCACUUAUUAUCGAUGUACGGAUAAAAUUCUUACAAGAGCGACAAAACACGCUAAUAGAAAAAUGGUAAGAAAGAGGGCACCUACAUUAUUUGAAUUACUCCAUAAUGACAAGGAUAAAAUAGAGAGAAAUGAAAAAGCUGGAAUAUAUGAUAUUCCAAUUCAUAAUAAUGAAGAAGGAAAAGUUCAGCACUACAUUGGUAGUACAACGAGAGGGUUAAGCAUGAGAAUUAAAGAACAUAAAAAAGAUAUUAGGACAGGGAAACUUAGCACA